RNAcentral lists this ribosomal RNA (468 nucleotides) under uncultured bacterium. RNAcentral describes it as "partial 16S ribosomal RNA". It matches the Rfam family "Bacterial small subunit ribosomal RNA", at positions 28 to 507 of the family's 1533-position model. The record is from RNAcentral.
GACGAACGCUGGCGGCGUGCUUAACACAUGCAAGUCGAACGGAAAGGCCCUGCUUUUGUGGGGUGCUCGAGUGGCGAACGGGUGAGUAACACGUGAGUAACCUGCCCUUGACUUUGGGAUAACUUCAGGAAACUGGGGCUAAUACCGGAUAGGAGCUCCUGCUGCAUGGUGGGGGUUGGAAAGUUUCGGCGGUUGGGGAUGGACUCGCGGCUUAUCAGCUUGUUGGUGGGGUAGUGGCUUACCAAGGCUUUGACGGGUAGCCGGCCUGAGAGGGUGACCGGCCACAUGGGGCCUGCGGUACGGCCCAGACUCCUACGGGAGGCAGCAGUGGGGAAUAUUGCACAAUGGGCGGAAGCCUGAUGCAGCAACGCCGCGUGCGGGAUGACGGCCUUCGGGUUGUAAACCGCUUUCGCCUGUGACGAAGCGUGAGUGACGGUAAUGGGUAAAGAAGCACCGGCUAACUACGUG